AGAACGAACGCUGGCGGCAUGCCUAACACAUGCAAGUCGAACGCUUUUGGGGCUUCGGUCCCAAAGGAGUGGCGCACGGGUGAGUAGCGCGUGGGAACCUGCCCUGUUGUGGGGGAUAACCGAGGGAAACUUCGGCUAAUACCGCAUACGCCCGGGGGAAACUCCGGGGAAAGAUUUAUCGCAGCAGGAGGGGCCCGCGUCGGAUUAGGUAGUUGGUGGGGUAACGGCCCACCAAGCCUGUGAUCCGUAGCUGGUCUGAGAGGAUGAUCAGCCACACUGGGACUGAGACACGGCCCAGACUCCUACGGGAGGCAGCAGUGGGGAAUAUUGGACAAUGGGCGCAAGCCUGAUCCAGCAAUGCCGCGUGAGUGAUGAAGGCCUUCGGGUUGUAAAGCUCUUUCGCACGCGACGAUGAUGACGGUAGCGUGAGAGAAGCCCGGCUAACUUCGUGCCAGCAGCCGC
This 462-nucleotide ribosomal RNA is filed under the name uncultured bacterium. Its description in RNAcentral is "SSU rRNA". It matches the Rfam family "Bacterial small subunit ribosomal RNA", at positions 26 to 518 of the family's 1533-position model. The record is from RNAcentral.